This 442-nucleotide ribosomal RNA is filed under the name uncultured bacterium. RNAcentral's name for it is "partial 16S ribosomal RNA". It matches the Rfam family "Bacterial small subunit ribosomal RNA", at positions 338 to 795 of the family's 1533-position model. The record is from RNAcentral.
CCUACGGGAGGCAGCAGUGGGGAAUAUUGGGCAAUGGGCGCGAGCCUGACCCAGCAAAGCCGCGUGAAGGAAGAAGGCUUUCGGGUUGUAAACUUCUUUUAAGAGGGAAGAGCAGAAGACGGUACCUCUUGAAUAAGCUACGGCUAACUACGUGCCAGCAGCCGCGGUAAUACGUAGGUGGCCAGCGUUGUCCGGAUUUACUGGGUGUAAAGGGCGUGUAGCCGGGCUGACAAGUCAGGUGUGAAAUCCGGGGGCUCAACCCCCGAACUGCAGUUGAAACUGGUGGUCUUGAGUAUCGGAGAGGCAGGCGGAAUUCCUAGUGUAGCGGUGAAAUGUGUAGAUAUUAGGAGGAACACCAGUGGCGAAGGCGGCCUGCUGGACGACAACUGACGGUGAGGCGCGAAAGCGUGGGGAGCAAACAGGAUUAGAUACCCCUGUAGUC